Molecule: long non-coding RNA, 14887 nt
Organism: Acinonyx jubatus (cheetah)
Lineage: Eukaryota; Metazoa; Chordata; Mammalia; Carnivora; Felidae
Exons: 5
Source: RefSeq, a predicted model, not a curated record
GGGCUUGAGCGGGGCUGCGUCCGCCCCGCCACCUGCCUCACACGAGGACAGGGAGACAGCGGGUGCCCGAGGCUUCCCUUUUCUGCCUUCCACGCCUCGGCCACAGAGGCUGGAGCCCCGGCCCUGUGUCCCAACCUGCAGCCGGCCGCGCCCACCCCCACGUGACGGACUGGCCCAUACAUUUCCCCAUUCAGCUGAUGGUGAGUGCUGUGCUAUUUUAAGCCCACAUGGAAGUAUUUUUUUUUUUUUUUGUAAGGACCAUCUGCUACCGGCCCCAGCCCAGAUGAUACAGUUAGAACCUACCCACAGCAUCCUCUCCCGCCUUCAGACAGUUCCAGGAACAAGGAACAUGUAUGACCCCCAUCUCAGAUGCUGCAGACUUUGCCUGGGACCUGUGUGAGUCUGAGCCCUGAGCCCGGGAGAGCCAUCGUCCCUGUGGGGUCCUGAGGCUGGCAGACAGUAGCAGUGGAGUGGAGGAGGGCUACCUGUCCACCCUCCGUACCCACUCUCCUCCCAGCCAUGUGCUUGGACCAUGGCUUCCCUGGGCCAGACACACUUUGCUAGGCAGAAGAGCCCAAAACAGUUGCGAAUGCCAUUUCCCUCCCCCCAACAAGGAAAUGAUGCGCUUGAAAGGAAGCCGUGUAAGGAGUGGAUGAGGUCCAGGUGUUUUCCUGGAAGCUCGGAGCCUGCCGUGGCUCUGCCGUGGCCCUGCCGUGGCCCCUGCCCUCUCUUUGCCGCCGGUUCCCUCCUCUGGACUCGCCCUGCUCAGAAGCAGCCGUUCUCGGACCUGACCAUACCCCUUUCUGGAAAGCACUGCUGCGGCCGUUAGGUGAGCUGGCGGGAAGGCAGGGUGUUCUGGGCCCGGCUGUGAUGCCAGCCGCGGAGGCCGUGAUGGAGCUUUCGGGCCAUCCUGGCAACGGGCGCACGUGCAGUUUACGGCGAUCCCGCGCUCGCACCAUGGGGGUGAUGCCGGCGAGAACGACACGGCACGGGGCCAAACGCAAAUUGUUUUAAAACGCACGAGCGAACUUGGUUCAGGUGGUGCCAGAGAAUUCUCGAUUUCAGUGGAGGGUGAUUUUGUGCACGUUUACUGCUCUCAUCCAAUAAAAAUGCAACUGCUCGCGGAGACAUUGGGUUGCGGUUUUAGGAGACGCUGUCAAAGAAAGGCCACAAAUUUAACCCAAUUUGCCGCACUGAGUUUGGUUGCUUUCUUCAAAGCGCCGUCAGCCCUUCAAAUCUGCGAGCUUUCUUUUUCUCUGCGAAAUGGUUACUCUGACCGUUUAGAAUAAUUUGAGUAAACGACGCUCAACUUGAGCCACUCAAAGUGCCCGAGUGCCCUCAGGUGAGGCCUGUCAGGUGUGUGGUGUGGUUCCUGAUCCCAAGGAGUUACAGAAAGACAGCCUCGAAUAGCAGGGUGUUCAUGGGAAAACGUGGCACGGGCCGUAGGUCCCACCAGGGGUCAGGGAACGAACGGCUGGGGUCACCCACCGUGUAAGCAACACCUGCUCCAUCCCGAGCUGAAUUCACAGUGUACGACCCGCAUAGCUGUAGAGAGGGGGUCACGCCAGGGUGCAUCACGUCUGUACUUAGAAGGGUCCUGCCCGUGAUCGAAUGCUCCGUGUCACCCUUCUGAAACACUUGGUCACCAGGAGCCUGGAGCUGUGUAUUUGCAGUUUGUGCCAAAGUCGUUUGCUUUUCUUUCUGGACACACAGCUCGACCCCAUCACUCACCGUCUCCUGCAGCUAGGAAUGGCCAUGUGACCAGGUUUAGCCAAAGGAAUGUGAGUACCGUUUGCGCGCCUGGCCCUCCCCCAACACGAGCUUGGUUCAGGGGGGUGCCAGAGAGUUCUGGAGCUCAGCGGAGAGUUACUUGUGCACUUUCACAGCCGCCAGCCAGCCACGAUGCAGCUGCUCACGGGGUCAUUGGGUUGUGCUUCUAGAAGCUGCUGUCAAGGAAAGUAGACCAGGCUUCCCCCCCUGUGGCUCACUGGGCUGUGUCCCCCAGGGGGCUGUGGAAGCCCGCGCUGAGGCUGGCGUAGCUGCUGCUGGCCUGUGUCUGGGCGUCUGGAUAACUGUGCGGAGCAGGAGGCCCCCUCCCUGUCCCGGGCACUCGGAGCUGCUCAGGACUCUCACCAGAGCAAAAAAUAAAUGUCUCUCGUCAAGAGACUCCAGACUCAGUUCUGUGUUUUCUGUAGCCCCACCUGCCACGAUGCUUCUUUUCAGAGGAAGGAAGUCUUUCUCAGAAGUCUCCCCGCGACUCCCUCCCCUUGGAUUGUUGCUUGGAAUUCAGCCUCGUGGCCGUCCCUACACCAAUCCCCGUCCAGGGCACGGGCCCUGCCACCAUCCGCUUGGAUAAUCAGGACUUGCUCCUGGAAGGCCCGUGGCUCUGCACAGCUCAGCACAACUGGGCUUUGAACAGCGGGCAAUGAGAGACACUUGCCAGUGGGAGAGCAGCCAAACAGUAUUUGCCACAGGGCAGUAAAAGGAAGGCUGUGGGUUUUCUUUUUCCCAGCUUUAUGGAGAUAAAAUCGACUUAUAACAUCGCAUAAGCUUCAAGUGCACAAGGUGAUGAUCUGAUCCACGUAUGUAUCAGGAAACAGUUACCACAAUAAGCUUAUUUGUUUGUCUUGAGAGGGAGAGAGAGGAUCCCAAGCAGGCUCUGAGCUGUCAGCUGGGAGCCCGACGUAAGGCUCGAACUCACGAACCCGGAGAUCAUGACCUGAGCCAAAAUCAAGAGGUGGACGCUUAACCGACUGAGCCACCCAGGUGUCCUGAAGAAGCUGUGAUUUAAAUAAUAAGGAUUUCUCGGAGCAGCAAAGGGCCAGAGGCCGACAGGGCUAUGCUUUCUGAGAAUUGUCCAUAUUUGUGCUCUAUAGUCCUCUGGAAGUCCAGAUCUUCCUGGUAUUAAAGAAAACAUGAAAAGCUGGAGGGAACUACCUGGCGCCACCUGAUCCUUUCUGUUUAAUAGAGAUUGAAGAUAGUUGGCCAUCUGGAAAAGACACCGGGAAACAGAGGGGACUUUGUCCCCGAGCUGGGCUCUGAGCCUUUAUGAAAUGGGUCCUGAUAUCAAGAAGAAUGUCUUGCUCGAAGCCAGUUUCGUUUGGGGUGAAGUCUGCACUUGAAGUUCCUCUGCUGACCUGACUCUGUGUGCAGGUGGGGCGGGACGGAUGGAGAACCUUGGCCAACAGCCCGCCCACCUUGGGUCCCUUUCUGUAACCACGAGGGCUACGUGGAACUACAACUGUAGGUCUUGUGGAAGUGAAAACUGUAGUGGUCCCCACCCCCCAUGUUUAUUUUGGGGCUUCUGGUUUGGGACUCACCUCACCUAUCUGAAGGACUGGCUUGAAGUGGACUUAUUUGGGACCUUUCUUUAGAGAACUCAAAAGCCUUUGUUUGUAGCCAUAUCUUCUUUGAUAAUACCGACUGACAUUAGAAGCAGAGAUAUAGCUUCAACGACAGUUUUCCACAACUCACGUUUUUUUGUCCCAACCUCUGUGGUCGCUGGCAGAACUGCCCUGAGUUCGGGUCUCAUUCCCAGAAUGUAGCCUGGGUAUAAAAACCUGGGGCCAGGAAGGUCUGAGCCACUGGCGGUUGGACCUGUGGUAUCACCAGAGCUAAAUCGAAACACAGAUGAUAACAACUGCCCUCCUCACUCCCCCACCCUUCGGAAGAGCAGAAACUGAACUUGAAGCUGUGAGAGCUAUAAAGAGUGUUUAACUUCUUUUAUUAUUAUUAUUUUAGAGACAGAGAGCACACGCAAGUGGGGUAGAGGGGCAAAGGGGGAGAGAGAGAGAGAGACAGAAUCCCAAGCAGGCUGCACACUCAGUGCAGAGCCUGACGUGGGGCUUUAUCCCACGACCCUGGGAUCAUGACCUGAACCAAAAUCAAGAGUCAGAUGCUCGGGACGCUUGGGUGGCUCAGUUGGUUAAGCGUCCGACUUCGGCUCAGGUCAUGAUCUCACAGUUCGUGAGUCCGAGCCCCAUGUCGGCUCUGUGCUGACAGCUCGGAGCCCGGAGCUUGCUUCGUAUUCUGUGUCUCCCUCUUUCUCUGCCCCUCCCCUGUUCAUGCUCUGUCUCUUAAUAAUAAAUAAACGUUAAAAAAAAAGAAAAAGAGUUGGAUGCUCAUCUGAGACACCCAGGCCCCAAGAGUAUUUAACUUCUGUUUUUUUUUUCAAUUCUGAUUUUUAAAUGAUCCAUUCUGAGGUUAUUAGAACAUAAUGUAGAAUUUGAUUAGAGUAAAACCAGAGUGACUUGUAUAACUUGCUUUAACCCCUGCAAGUGCAAUUGUGGUAAUAUCACUUCUAAGCUUCCAAUUAAUUUAUUACACAUGCACAUGCUCUUCUGUAACCUGCCUCUUGAGGGUAUCUUCCAAAAUGUGUGUAAACUUGGAAGGAGGGAUAACUUAGUCCAAAGACGGUCGGUUAAUUCUGCUUCUAAAAGUCAGCUGUAGAAGGAACUGGAAAGUUGCUCAAUCUCCACCAUCGUACCUGCCCCUUACUAUCACCUGGUGUCACUGCUGCAGGUUAUCCUGCAACAGCUCUAUGGAUGCUUGUCCAUUAUGCGUUGAUGUUCUGUGUUCUCUGCCCUGCACAGGCUGGGAUGAUGGUUCAUGGGUGGCCUCUCAGGGCACAGUUCUCUAGUUCACAAGGGUAAACUUAAGCCAGGUGUUCCUGGAGCAGAGCACAGUGCCUGGAUGCCGUGUUCUGAGGAGUUACCAGCACAGGCUAUGCCAGAAGAAUCCUUCUCGACAAGCCUUAGGCCACGUAUCAAGAUCCAGCCAACAAGUAGACUCCUAAUGACUUACUAGGUGAAUUUCUCUUUGGGACUCUUGAUAUCGCUUCUUACAGAUCUUGGGUCAGGGCCACCACUGUUUUCCCCCACACGCCCUGAAUUUUGAACAUCUGGCUCUUUUGUUUUUUCCCCCAUGGGCUUUGGGCUUCCUUUAUGUAUCUCUUUGUCUUCAGUGGCCAGUUCCUCAUACCAAGAGGAAGGAGAUGUUUGCUUUUGUCCAAAUACAACAUGUCCAUUAGGUCCCAAAGGAGGCCCUCAGGUGAAGCACCGUUGAGCAAAGAAAAUACGUUCAGAAGUGGAUUUGUGUCACACGCAAAGAAGGAUGUGUGUGUCUGUGGCAAAGGGUGGCGGGUUGGGUAGCAAAUAGUUUUGAUAUUUGGUUACAAAAGACUCAAAACCCUAAUGGUUUUGCAUUUAACGGUUUGCAUAUAGCACUCAUGGUCUCUGGGCUAUGGACAUUGAAUCUCUCUACAAACUGUUCAAUAUCAGAAAGUCUCACAAGUUACUUGUUGGUAAAGUAACCCAAAGCUUCCAGAUUGGUUUCUAAAAUUUAAGUAAUUCCUUUUCAUAAGAACAAAUUCUUCAAAAUCUGGGGGAAUAUUUCUUUAAAAAUGACUUUUGUAUUUUUAAUAUUAAAAAGUAGACCUAUGUUAAAGACUAGUUUUUAAAGAAUUCUUUAGAGCCUUAAGGCCUAUAACCCUUAGACAAAUACAAAUGAAUGCCCAUCAAAGAUUUUACUUAACUCAUUCAUUAACGAGGGAACCAAUAAAAUGUUACAACCAGCUCAAAAGAGAAUUCAAAAUACACACACACACACACACACACACACACACACACACAGAGGCCAUCAGGAGCACUGAAGUGAAUUUACAAAUAGAUGCAAAACUGGUCAAAAUCUAUAGAACGAUAAUCAAUUGCAUCACCACACAACACAAUUUGCAUUUCUAGAACAAUAAUUUCUAUUAUUAGAGGGAAAGUGGAAUGAACAAUGUUCAACUUCCACCCAAGUGCUCUUGAACUUGGCCUGUUUUCUUUUGCUAAUCAUUGGUCUCUUCUACACCAUUAUUACUUUCUUUCUUCCCCAGGAAGAGAAAAAGUCUUCUCAGGAUGCACAUUAAUUUUAGAACCUUUACAUUAUUAGGAAAAUCAGGUGAGAUAAAGCUAGAAGUCAUUAAAAAGCUUGUAGAAUCGUUUGGCUUUAGAAGAACGUUUACUUAAAAUCUUUCUUUCUGGCCAUAAAAAUGAAUCAAGGCAAACAAUUAAACGUGAAAGUGAGCAGUAAAGAGAGACAAACGUAUUGCUAAUGGGGAGAGUCAUUGUGUAAAGUUUGUAAGGUGUGCCCUUCCCCACCAUCUCCACGGCUGUGACUUGUAGACUGGCGUGACGUGUAAGCCCGUCCCCUGGGGUCUGCCCCCCACGGUGCUAUACAAUGGAAACGAGCCUUUAAUUCUGUUGAAGUUCAUAUAGGGUCUUGCUGUGUAGUUUAGCCUGGUUUACACUGACUGGACAAUAUAUAGUAAUGCAGGGUUUGCACUAUUCUGGAAUGAGGCCCUAUAUACCGCUUUGACAAAACAUUUUAUGUGUCACUUUAACCUUGGAUAUUGAGAAUUGUCUCCAUAUAUCCUUCAUAAGAAUAACCUUGGUCUCACUGCCGAGAGUCGAGUGGAUUUUGAAUGCCACGUGAACCUCCCAAGUCACGCGUUUCUUCUAUGCACAUCUGUCUGUGGAUGACCCAUCUUGUGAGUCUAAGAAGGAUGGGCCAGAGCAGGGGUUUUAUAGUUUGGCCUAAAUGUAGCUAUGGAAUCCACUUAAAAAAAUACUUUUUCCUGGAUUUUAUGGCAAGGGUUUUCGCUGCCGCUGUUGUUUUGAUCUCGUUUUCGGUUGGUUUUCUGUCCCCACCUAUGUUUCCUUCUUCUGUUCUUACCCACUCACUAAUGCGACAGCUCCAAGGCGGGCUUGGCCUCCCCACGGGCUCAUGACCGCUUGGUGAGCGGAGCACCUGUCUUGUUCACGGGUGGGCCCCUUGCUCAGUAUCAGGCCCAGACAAAAUUCCUAGCCAAUGUUUACUGAAUAAAUUGGUAGUGCACCUCGUGAUGUAGGGCUUUGGGGCAAAGGGGAGAUUUUGUAUUUCAGUGUUAAACCAAGUUCGGUCUAACAGGGGCGUUCUGAUUUCCCUGUGUUUGGGGUCAUAGCAUGGUAAUAUUGCUAUUUAUGUUUGGAGCAAGUCCAAGAUCACCACUCUAGUGAAGGCACUUCCAUCUGAGAAUGGAAUGAAGGCAGGAUGAAAGGGAGGUCAAGCAGUCAAUGUCAAGGAGAGAAUUGAUGGAGGGAAACCAUUAGAGAUCAUCAGGUCCCAGGCCACACAGUUACUCUGAAAUCUGGACUAGAUCCCACGGGGGCCACCAGAAUCUGGGCACCCCCGCACCCAGUCAUGCUCCCUCCCUCAAUCCCUAAGGACUAGGGUGUGGAGCUUGAAGGAGAAAAGUAUAGACAGGACCAUGGUGCAGGGAGAAGACCCCUUGGCUUCCAAUCAGGCAGCUACGGAGUCAAGGUUUUGCAUUCCUAGUCAUGCAAACGUGACCUCUGCAAAAUGGGAGAAUGCUGCUGAAUUCAGAGUCAUUUUUAUACGGAUUAAGCAAAACAGUGUCUGUGAAAAUGGAUCUGGCACAUGCAAGGUGCAACACAGAGGGUCAGACCAUGACCUGAUCCAGGUGUUGGGUCUUAAAUUGUUCCGGUGUCAUCUUUUUUUUUUUUUUUCUCAUUUUAUCCAUGAAUGAUCUAUUUCCUCAUCCAGGAGUUCAACAGUGCUUACUGAGCACCUGCUAGAAAUCAGGGGUGCUCUGGGAAUUGGGAAUAUUAAGAUAAGCGUGUCAUCCUGGUGGCCUGACUGGCUCAGUUGGUUAAACAACUGACUUCAGCUCAGGUCAUGAUCUUGCAGUUUGUGAGUUCGAGCCCCGCAUCGGGCUCUGGGCUGACAGCUCAGAGCCUGGAGCCUGCUUCGGGUUCUGUGUCUCCCUCUCUCUCUCUCUGUCCCUCCCCUGCUCACACUAUCUGUCUCUUAAAAAUAAACAAAAACAUUUAAAAAAAAGUGCCAUCCUAUGCCAGCCUCUUUGUGGGGGGCAGGGAUGGUUUGGGGUCACACCGUCUUCACUAUCAGCAUGGAGACUCCAGGGACACACAGGCGAGGCGUCAGUCCAAGCUAAUGGAUUCUGGCGGGAACCCCAGUGGGGAUUCCGAAAGCCUCCUGCAGGGAGGCUACUUAUGAUUUGCAGGUGAUUUAAGAGAUUCUCCAAAAUUUUGUCAAGAGUGAAAACAUCCUGUGAUCUGACAUCUAAUGGUAUUAUGUUUGUCGCCCUCUGACCUGUGUAGACUCCUUAUCAUGUUGGUAAAAGAAUUCCAUUCAAGGGGGCAUCUGGGUAGCGCAGUCGGUUAAGCGUUUGACUUCAGCUCAGGUCAUGAUCUCAUGGUUUGUGGGUUCGAGCCCCGUGUCCAGCUCUUUGGUGUCAGCGAGGAGCCUGCUUCAGAUCCCCCGUCUUCCCCCUCUCUGCACCUCCCUGCCCGCACACUCUCUCUCUCAAAAAUAAAUUAACAUUAAAAAAAAUUCUAUUCAAUCAAAAGCAGUCCUGCACUCUGGUUCAAGAUUUCCCUUGAUGUAGAACAGGACAGCAUUUCCACUAGACAGAGGCCUGUGAAGUGCUCUGUGAAAAAGGGUCAAACAAUUGGAGACACAUUCUUGCUCUAGCCUCCUCCUAAGGAGUCAUCAUGUACAAAGGUUUGGAGAGGAUGCACAGACCUAUUGAACCUUAGUUCUGGUUACCUCUAGGGCUGGGACUGGAGAAGAGAAGAAGAGAUUAUCAAUAUUUAUUUUAUAAACAUCUCAAUUGUCUGUUUACCAGGAGCUUGUCUUAUUUUUAAGUUAAAGCAUUCUAUAGGGACGCCUGGGUGGCUCAGUCGGUUGAGCGUCCAACUUCGGCUCAGGUCACGAUCUUGCAAUCUUUGAGUUUGAGCCCCGCAUCAGGCUCUGCACUGACAGCUCAGAGCCUGGAGCCUGCUUCGGAUUCUGUGUCUCCCUCUCUCUGUGCCCCUAACCCACUCGCAUUCUGUCUCUGUCUCUCUCAAAAAUAAAUAAACAUUAAAAGAAAACUUUAAAAAAUUCUAUAAAAUAAAGAAAAAUAAACAAAAAAGGAUACCAGAAAAAGGUUCUGAGAAGUCCUGCCCUAAGAAACCCAGCACUUCCCACAUGUUUCUGAUCAGGCAUCCCUUACCUGGCUCUCUGGAACAUUCUCUGGGAGGUGCUGUUCUCAUAAGCAUCCAGUUUCCUCGACUGUGUAUGUCUUAGAAUAAUUUAACUCUAGAGUUAGAAGAGAGUUGACAUGUAACCCAUGAGCUUUAUUUUACUUGAAAACAAAGUGAGGACCUGAGAGUUUAGGUGGCUUGCCUCAGGUGACAUGGCUCAGUGGUGGCAGAUGGGGAGGGAGCUCCCCAUCUCCUUCACCAGGGAGAAGAAGCCUCCUGUAACCCACUCCUGGGGGGCAGGACACCCUCACCUUCAUAACUGAGACAGGUGAGCAAGAGAGGCCAUGGAGACAGGUCAUGUGUCCUGGGAAGUCAGAACACCAGCUCGGCCGUGUGAACUGCUCCGAGACACUCACCAUCGUAUGUCUUCUGGAAAGAUAAAUAAACUUUCAGACCUGGGCUCAGAGACUCACUGUCACCACCCUUGGCUACAAGAAUACGUCAUCACCCCUCUCUCUCCCAACGCCCGUCCUCCAUCAGGGAAGAGUCUGGGCGAGGGCGGCCCGCAUCUUGGCUCUCCAAGGCAUUGCAGCCGGACCUCGAGCCCUCACCUCCUUGAUGCACUUCUGCCCGGCUUCCCAGAUUCUGCAGACGCUGGACAGAAGCAGGAGGCACAGCAAAUGACUGACUUUGGGCAUCCUUCACCUGGGUCCCGGUAGGACAUUUUGUGGGAAGCUUUUGUGGGUAUCAGCCAGCUUCCCCCACCAAAUGAGAAAGCGGCCCAGUGCUUCCUGUGAUGGCCAAGGUGAUUUCGGCCUCCAUCCACGUCCCAAAGGAACUGUCUUUGCAAGGGGACACGGAAGGGACCAGGGGCACAGCUGCAGUUCUACAGCCAGCGAAACACAGGAGGCACAAAGAUUUUAAUCUUGACAUUCCUUAAUUCAAAAAAUAAAAACAGAACACAACCAGCACGCUUGCCAAGACCAGGCCUGAAGCCCCCUCGGGAAUGAGGAGCAGAGGACAGCCAGGGGGUGCCGGGGAGGGUCAGGCGGUCUCUGAUCUGGGAUCACUCACAUCUCUUAUAAAAGGUAAGUACACCGGCCCCCGGGGGGCCCUGAGCGCCACACCGCAGCUGUGAUUUAUGUGGAGGAGACUGGCUACGAAUCAAACGGCUUUAAGUAGUAGUUUCAGCGCAGCAAACGAAUUGACACGCAAAGAGAAUGGAAAAUGGCUCUGUGUUUUAAUCCACAAGUGUCAUAGAACUCGGUUUUCAGGCUGGAACAAAGUUUUGGCUCUCUUUGACAAAGUGCCUCUGUGUGGAGUACUCAGUGGGGGUGAGAGACCAGAGAGCGACUGUUGGGCGCCUCCCGGUCGAUGGCUUUGUCACCUGAGAGAAAGCCAGCCUCAAAGUAGGUUAGUAAAUGCUUUCUCCGAGGUCUUAGUGGGGAUCCAGUCUUGCAAUUGCUCCAAAGGGCUGCUGGGGAGCUCGUUAGCUACAGGGGAUCAUAUAUCCAAGAGGGGAAAAGAGUAUAUACGUGCUUGCAAGCAGCUCUCUAAAUACUUGCGUGUCACGGGGUAUAAUUUGUUACGGUUGUAAAAACCGAGGUUUUCUGAUUUCUGAAUAGACACAAGAAAGACCCUUAGGUCAUCUUCACGCAUUAUGUUUCUAUCGUAUCUGAUUGCUCCAAAAUAUCACAUGCCUCUGCUUCACUGGUUUUCCGGUUCUUCCUGUUUUUGAUAGCUCCUUGAGGUCACUUGAGGUGGUCACAGAAGGCUGACAUCAGUCACCUCCUGUAGCUUUCGUGCAGAGCCCGAGGGGCCCCAGCGAGAAGCCUUCCGAGCUGGAAACCAAGGAGUCCGUUCGUCCUGCUGCUGGUGGUACAAGGCGUUCAGAGCCCUCAGAGCAUCUCUGCCAGGAAAAAGUCUUGGGCUGUCAUUGUCACCACCGCUUUUGCGCCAUGUGAAAUUGCUGGUCCUGGCGUGAACUAAAUCCCGAAGGAUGCAAAGGCGAGACUGGGGUUCAUACCCGUCAGCCCCCCCUCCCCACACCGUAGCUGGGGAUGAGACAGAAGAUGUGGCUGGAGAACACCAUGCCAGCGACCAGAAUUUCUGGAAUACAUUCGUUCUGCUAAUUUGAACAUUGGAUACCUCUUAUAUCUUAAUAAUGAUUCCUAAUUAUUUCACACGUGUAGAUCUCAUAUCGCUCAAAAGAUGAAAAGCUUCCCCCAAAACAGGGAUCAAACUUAUGGUCCUCUUGUAUUUCUCAAAAUGCCUAGCACUUCGGGAAAGAAUAGAUUGAAGACGUACUUGUUGCCUUGAGUCAAAUGUCUGUGGAGACAGGAGGGAGCCACUGCAUGAUCAUCGAAGUCCCGGAAUUAUUCAAAGCCCUGAUUUCAGCUGUGGAAUUGAGCACUCUUUCCCCUAAAGCCUCUUAUCAUAAAUACAGUAGAGAAAAAAGGGGGUUAUUAUGAUACCAUCUCUCUUUGCUUCUCCUACUCUCCUGCUGGUAUUGAAAUGAUCAAGAGAGUAGAAAAGUGGCCAAAAACAAAACAAAACAAAACAAAACAAAAAAACAAGAAAAAAACCAAACCCACGCAGAGGCAACACAUGAAGAGAGCCUUGAGAACCACAAAUAAGGCAGCCCUAGAAUGACUGAGCAGACCAAGACCUUAGAAACCCCUGCCUAUUUCUUGUGAAACUAUCAAGUCUCAAAGUGUCCGUAUCACAGAGACUUCUUUUUGGUUUUGGUGAUGGCUUUCCCAGCCGGGGCAAGCUCGUUUUUUAGACAUUUGCAUAUGUUUUCACCUUAUGGUUUCAGGUUGACUUUGAAGUUCAUUCUUUCAAGGACAGAAGGGAAUUCCUAACAGUUCACUAACAGUCAAGUUCCUGGCAAAGAAUUUCAUCUGCAUACCGUUGCUGUAGACUUGGGUGCUCAUGGAGAUUUUUAUACUUUCUGUUUUAAAAGAGAAUCUUUUCAUUGCAUGUAACUGUUCUGUUUCUAAUAAAAUGUUGAAGCAUUAUAUGCAUCUAUCAGAAGGUGAUAUGGCCUGAAGGCGACCUACAGAUGGUCAGUAUUUUCUAGAUAGCCGUAAUUGUUGGCAGGGAGAACCAGGCCAUGUUACUUAUGAGUUGUGCUCGGUGAAUUCCAGCUAAGACAAGGACCCUGCCCUACAGAUCCCAGAGAGGAAUUGCUGCUGUGUUGGGUAAAGGGAAGACCAGAAAGUUUCUGGAACUGCUCACUUACUCCCUUAACAACCAUUCAUGGAAGGUAUUGCACUGGGGGUUGAGAAUAUAGUGACCAAGGGCAAUGCAGUCCGUGCCCUCCAGGAACUUGGGGUCUCUCAGGAAGGAGGGCUGUGGUGAUAGAUAUGUCCCGGGCUCCGGAAGGGAUCCCCCAGAGUGACAAGGGAGAGGAGAGGGGCCCUGCCUCAGCCAACCGAGGGAGGUGCUGGGGGAAGGGAAGGGUGUUGUUGGGAUAAGAGAUUUGGUUCACUUUUGAGUGAUGUGUCCUAUAGCCAAAGAAGUGGGAAAGGCGUUUCAGCUAUGCAGAUAGAUACCGGGAUUUGAAAGGACAAUAUUUGGGUAAGGUGCCUUUUCCAAAACACAAAUAUGAUAGAAAAUCAAACCCUCUUUAAUCUAAAAUCCUGAUGAUUGGUGCAUUAGCGGAGGCACUGGGCUGAACUCCUAGAGCACAGCCUCCUUGUGUUCUCAUCCAUCAGCACUAUCGCCGGGCACAGGAUAGGGGCCCAGUUUGUGUUUGUGGAAGAAUCAAUGAACCUCUUAAACUUUUAUUUCCUUCAUCUCCUUCUUUUCACACUGAGAAAUUAGUGGAAGUAGAAAAAAAUGUAACUGCGUCUAAUUUAAUGGCUAUCUUCUAAGACAAUGUACUCCGCAUUAUCAUAGCCUAAUUUUCUCUACAUAAAUCCGUCUGGUUCUUCUAAGGUGACCAAUCAUUCUGCUACUGUCUCCCUGGCCCAGUGGAAGAAAGUAGGUUGGGGUUUUUUUUUUCGUUUUUUGUUUUGUUUUUCGAGAGCGAGCAUUUUAAAAUAUGAGAAGUCCGUAAGCUGUGGGUUCCCUUUGUGCCAAAGUCAGAGGUAGAGCACGGGUUUCUGGUUUUUCAGUUGUCUUACCUUCUCACACACCAAGAAACCACAAACAGGGAAUUAGGACCGAAAGACUCAAGCCCCACACAUACCCCGCGGGCUCACUCUCCCUCAGCAGGCAACCAAAGGGGACACUCGCUUUUCAAAAGAGCUGCACGGAGACCCCAACCCUGAAAAAGAAUCGUAGCUACACUUCUGAACCAGCAACCACGCGUGUUUCAGUGCUCCACGAGAAUGAACUCAUGCAAUCCUCACGGCAGAAGGGUGAGGAGGAAACCGUGAUCAUCUUUAGUUUACAGAUGGGGAAGCUGAGUCACAGGAGGGCAAGAAUUUGCUCAGCGUUACCAGCCGGUAAAUGCCGGGGCUGGACUCGGGAGGCACGGAGAGUGGGCUGCAGCUAAAGUGCAGACCACAUCACCUCCGUCCUGAAGAAGGGAAAACGCUGUGCCACGGAUGAGACAAGUGCACCGGAACGACGCUGGUACAUUUUGUGCUUAAAAACACUAGCAAUAUAGGACACUACGUGUUCAGUGUAAAACAACUCGAAAGGUUGUUAUGAGAAUCGAAAUUAGAACAGUUGUUGCUUUUUUUUUUUUCAAGUGACUGAGAUGUGCGUUUCGAGAUCUAGAAUUUGAUGAGCAUUCCAAGUCUCCAAAGAACCCUUCAGAACUAGUUCUUAGGAGCACAUGAGACAACGUUCAAACCUACGAAGCAAGUACAGUGAACAGGAAGCCUCCCCUCCACUUGUGAUUCAUAGUCACUGAACUUCCUCCCUCAGAGGCGACCAGAAUCAGGUGUUUGUUGUGUAACCUUCUGGAGAUAUUCUGUGCACAUACAAGCUUAUGUGUCUACAUAGAUGAUUUGGGGUAUGGGUGGGGAAAAUGAUAAUUUACUACGUCCAAGCAGUUCAGCACUUUGCUAUUUUUACUUAAGAUUAUAUGAAGGAGUGGGUGCCUGGGUGGCUCAGUCAGUUAAGCGUCCAACUUCGGCUCAGCUUAUGAUCUCACCGUCCGUGAGUUCGAGACCUGCACCAGGCUCUGUGCUGACAGCGCAGAGCCUGGAGUCUGCUUCUGAUUCUGUGUCUCCCUCUCUCUCUCUACUCCUUCCCCUCUUGUGCUCUGUCUUUCUUUCUCAAAAAUAAAAUAAAAACAUAAAAAAAAAAGAUUGUAUGCAGGAUCAAUACUUGGUCCAUAGUAGUAUAUUGAGUCUCGUCAAUCUGGUCAUUACAGUUGCUUUUAAUUGUUUUUUAUAUUGCUUAUAAAGGCGAUUGAUUUUCUCUCUAUAAAAUUUGCAUCCAGCCAUCGUUCUAAAUUUCUCUUGGUGUCUGUGAUAGUGUUUCCAAUGAUUCCCUUGUAUGUUCCAAGUUAGAGGUCAUAUAAUUUGAAUUCCCCAUUCUAAUUUUUAUACUUCAAUGUAUUUCUCUUAUCAGAUUGGAUGGACUAGUACCUCUAACACAGUGUCAGUGGGCAUUCUUAUCUUUUUCUUGACUGAAUUGGAAGCUACUAGUUUUUCUCUAUUAAACAUGAUGCUCAUUUUGGUGUUGAUGCACACACACAAACUAAAUAUCCAUCCAUCCAUACUUAAUUGACACUCUUUUUAUAGAUGUUAUAUUUUUAUAUCAUAUUGAUGAAUCAUCUAUCUUUUCCUGUAUUUCAGAAUAUUUAUUAAAAAUGGAUGUCAACUCCUAUAAAAUGCCCCUUAUUCAUAGAUGGAGAUGAUCAUUUGAUUUUUUUUCUUUUGAUGUGUCCAACAAUGAUA